RNAcentral lists this ribosomal RNA (253 nucleotides) under uncultured bacterium. RNAcentral's name for it is "partial 16S ribosomal RNA". It matches the Rfam family "Bacterial small subunit ribosomal RNA", at positions 524 to 776 of the family's 1533-position model. The record is from RNAcentral.
UACGUAGGGACCAAGCGUUGCUCGGAUUUACUGGGCGUAAAGGGCGCGUAGGCGGCAAUUCAAGUCAUCUGUGAAAUCUCCGGGCUUAACUCGGAACGGUCAGAUGAUACUGCUUUGCUAGAGUGCGGAAGGGGCAAUCGGAAUUCUCGGUGUAGCAGUGAAAUGCGUAGAUAUCGAGAGGAACACCUGAGGUGAAGACGGGUUGCUGGGCCGACACUGACGCUGAAGCGCGAAAGCCAGGGGAGCAAACGGG